RNAcentral lists this ribosomal RNA (387 nucleotides) under uncultured bacterium. RNAcentral's name for it is "bacterial SSU rRNA". It matches the Rfam family "Bacterial small subunit ribosomal RNA", at positions 28 to 416 of the family's 1533-position model. The record is from RNAcentral.
AUUGAACGCUGGCGGCAUGCUUUACACAUGCAAGUCGAACGGCAGCGGGGGCUUCGGCCUGCCGGCGAGUGGCGAACGGGUGAGUAAUGCAUCGGAACGUGCCCAGUCAUGGGGGAUAACUACGCGAAAGCGUAGCUAAUACCGCAUACGCCCUGAGGGGGAAAGCGGGGGAUCGCAAGACCUCGCGUGAUUGGAGCGGCCGAUGUCGGAUUAGCUAGUUGGUGGGUAAAGGCCUACCAAGGCGACGAUCCGUAGCGGGUCUGAGAGGAUGAUCCGCCACACUGGGACUGAGACACGGCCCAGACUCCUACGGGAGGCAGCAGUGGGGAAUUUUGGGACAAUGGGGGGCAACCCUGAUCCAGCCAUGCCGCGUGAGUGAAGAAGGCC